UGGGGAAUAUUGGGCAAUGGGCGAAAGCCUGACCCAGCAACGCCGCGUGAAGGAAGAAGGCCUUCGGGUUGUAAACUUCUUUGACGAGGGACGAAGGAAGUGACGGUACCUCGAAAACAAGCCACGGCUAACUACGUGCC
This 140-nucleotide ribosomal RNA is filed under the name uncultured bacterium. RNAcentral's name for it is "partial 16S ribosomal RNA". It matches the Rfam family "Bacterial small subunit ribosomal RNA", at positions 355 to 509 of the family's 1533-position model. The record is from RNAcentral.